This 555-nucleotide ribosomal RNA is filed under the name uncultured fungus. Its description in RNAcentral is "SSU rRNA". It matches the Rfam family "Eukaryotic small subunit ribosomal RNA", at positions 194 to 755 of the family's 1831-position model. The record is from RNAcentral. Lineage: Eukaryota; Fungi.
GGAAGGGGUGUAUUUAUUAGUAAAAACCAAUGGCGGCCACCGCUUUUUUCUGGUAUUCAUAAUACUUUUCGAAUUCGCAUGGCCUUGUGCUAGCGAUGUUUCAUUCAAAUUUCUGCCCUAUCAACUUUGAUGGUAGGAUAGAGGCCUACCAUGGUUUUAACGGGUAACGGGAAUUAGGGUUCUAUUCCGGAGAGGGAGCCUGAGAAACGGCUACCACAUCCAAGGAAGGCAGCAGGCGCGCAAAUUACCCAAUCCCGAUACGGGGAGGUAGUGACGAUAAAUACUGAUACAGGGCUCUUUUGGGUCUUGUAAUUGGAAUGAGUACAAUUUAAAUCCCUUAACGAGGAACAAUUGGAGGGCAAGUCUGGUGCCAGCAGCCGCGGUAAUUCCAGCUCCAAUAGCGUAUAUUAAAGUUGUUGCAGUUAAAAAGCUCGUAGUUGAACCUUGGGCCUGGUUGGCCGGUCCGCCUCACCGCGUGCACUGGUCCGACCGGGCCUUUCCUUCUGAGGAGCCGCAUGCCCUUCACUGGGUGUGUCGGGGAACCAGGACUUUUAC